RNAcentral lists this transfer RNA (67 nucleotides) under Cyathocotyle prussica. RNAcentral's name for it is "tRNA-Trp". Lineage: Eukaryota; Metazoa; Platyhelminthes; Trematoda; Diplostomida; Cyathocotylidae. The record is from RNAcentral.
AGUGAAGUAGGUUAAUUGAUUUGACUAUUUGUUUUCAAAACAGGGGGUGGCUGUAAGCCUUUCACUG